UGAAUUGUGCCUAUCUGUGCUCGGUUUACCGAAGCAGGGAUGUGGCACUCGGUACUAUAUAUUAAACGACUCUCGGCAACGGAUAUCUCGGCUCUCGCAUCGAUGAAGAACGUAGCGAAAUGCGAUACUUGGUGUGAAUUGCAGAAUCCCGUGAACCAUCGAGUCUUUGAACGCAAGUUGCGCCCAAAGCUUUCGGGCCGAGGGCACGUCUGCUUGGGCGUCACGCAUCGCGUCUCCCCCACCCCACAAUUGUGGGAAGGGGAGGAAGAUGGCCUCCUGUGCCUAACCAGGCAUGGAUGGCCUAAAUGAGGAGCCCAUGGCCUUGAGCUGCAUCGGCGUUUGGUGGUACACAAGGCUAUGCCUAGGUUGCAUCGCGUCGCGCAGCAUUUGGCUAUUGGACUCGUAGGACCCUAACAUGUGCCUUGAGUGACAAAC
Molecule: unclassified non-coding RNA, 435 nt
Filed under: Patellifolia procumbens
Lineage: Eukaryota; Viridiplantae; Streptophyta; Magnoliopsida; Caryophyllales; Amaranthaceae
Description: sequence contains ITS1, 5.8S rRNA gene and ITS2
Rfam family: 5.8S ribosomal RNA (bases 68-223)
Source: RNAcentral